GCCAAGCUUUACGCUCGAGGAAAACGAAACUGAACUUUACGGCACCACAGUUGUCUGAUUUGUAUGAACACACAAAACCACAUGUGUGUGCUUUUGGAUCGCAGGUUGUUAAAGAUCAACAUGUAAAUCUCACCUGAUGUAUGGGAAGAUUAAAUCGACGUCGCCCCUGAAAAUCGCGAUCAGAUAGGAAAUGAUGAAGGUGGAGGAAGACCAGACGACCAGAAACACUGGCAGGAAGCACAGACCUUGCGUGAACCAAAACAUCUCAGGGAAGUUUGUUUACGCGUUAACUUCCAGAAAACCGUGCCACCACCUGAGCAGGAGGAGAAGGAGGAGAAGGAGGAAUCCACGUCUGAUGCUGCUGAUCCAGACGCAUGGAUCAGGUUGUGCGCCUCUUCUCUGUGUGAGUCUGUUAACGACAGUCACAUGGUGGUGAUCGUCUGCAGCAGAAUGAGCUCUGCCUCUUUCCAAUAAACUCAUAUACAGUACAGCUCCGGUGACCUCUUCCCCAAAAUGACUCCGGGUGGGCUGGCGUUGCGCAAAUAAAACCACCCGUUACAUCCACAGAUCUCCUCCUCCUACUCCUCCUCCUCUUCCUCCUCCUCCUCCUUCCCAUCACUUAAACAAUUGCUGUUGAUAUUUGUACGAUCUCAGAGUCAAGAGGGGAAGGGUUCCUCCUCAAAUCCAGUCAGAAGGUGCUUUUCAAGAGAAUAAUGAUGAAAUAAAGCCACAUAAUAAGGAACUUUUCAAACCAGGUUGAGGAAUUUCCCAGUUUUAUGGGCAGAAAUAUAAAAUUUAAGAUGUGACAGAUGAUAAAAAAAGUUUAAAAACAAUUAAAUAAAAUGUUUUAAAAUGAUGUAAAUGACCCAGGAGAUGAUCAGCGCCUCGAUAAAAACAAUUCUAAAAAUAAUAACUUAUUAAGUUGGAUGGAUCUAUUUAAGGAGAUUGUUCCUAACAAGGCGUCAAGUUAGGACCAGGCAUUAAAAGUUAAUAAAGUCUUAAAAUCAUUUCUAAUAUUUAGCUCGAUGGAGAGAAGCUACAAACCGGAGUCAUGUGCUGUUGUGGUUUUGGUGAGAAGUCUGGCUGCUGCCUUUGACACAGACUAACGUGGACUCUUCCGACUCAGACGUGGAGAGUUACAGUAAUUCAGUUGAGAGGAAAUGAAAGCUUGCCUAACCGUGCUGGAAGAAGAAAUGAGCUAAACGUGAGUGAGUCAUGUGUUUAAUAUUUUACUUCUAGGUAAAAGUAGAAUAACCGAAAAACUCCGGUUGCAAAGUCUGUGGUUUGAAUUGAAAUUGGAACAGGUCCCCAAUUAGCAGACUCUUUCUCACACCUCCAACAAGGCCGACUCUCGCCAUAGUACAUAGAAAAAAUAAAAUAGUUCAUGGAAAUUGGUCCAGUAUUGAGUUAUCCUGGUAAAAGACAGAUAAAUGGACACGAAAACACAAUGCUCUCGACCAUGAGGAGUCUAGAAAUGAGUUCUGAACCCCUCGACCAAUGUCCCUCAGCCCAUUUAUCCACAAUCCAACCACAACGUGACAGUUUGAGAUAACUUGAUUGAAUCCAUUGCCACGUAUGUCGGCUAAAUAUUAAAAAUAAUACACAAAUACAGAUUUGACACAAUGGGCCUUUUUACAGGACAUGGCCAUGUGGUAAAGAAGCAGGAAAUGCAUUAAGACCCUUUACAGUCAAGGUCUAUGAAACCUAAUUUGAGCAAUUCUCCCUACAAAUUUGCAACGAAUCAAAUUACCACAAACAAUUUCACAGUUUUGAAAUGCCCUCAGUUAGUGGUACAGUCCUGGAGUGUAUAUGUUCUUGCAUGUUUUAAAUUCUUGGGUAAAUUGGGUUAAGUUUUCCACCACUGGAGUUGAGUUGACUGUAAAGACGAAGGGACAGAGCCAGUGGAACCCAGACGUCUUUCAGCUCACGCUUCUAAACACGUGUUUCUUACAUUCUGAGCCGAGUGGAGUCACUUCUGAGCCUCGGCUGUUGCUGCAGCUGAAGAUGAAACUCGCCAAAGUCUGACUUGGAUGCAACUUUAAGAAACGUUUUGCUCGGUUCCACUGUAGUGACUCAGCAGGGAGAAGCUGCAGAGGAGACAGAAAUAGUAAAACUUUGAGAUAACGGACAAUGAAAUGUUGCACUGUUGAAAUUACCCCUGCAUUUAUCAUAAUAACUGAAGGACCCAGAGUUUCAUUCUUGGCUUGAGGGAACACGUUUAACUGUUUGUGAUGAAAACAUUACAAUCAUAAUACAAAAUAAAGAGUCAGUUGAUGCCCUGAGAGAGUUUAAGGAAGUCAUGCACGUGCCAGAAACCACUUUUCGGUCACAAGAGGACACCUGAGCAAGUUCCUCUUGACAACGGUGGAGAAAUACAACAGAAAACUCUGAGGACAACUCAAAAGUUGUAACAGGAGCAGUGUGAUUAUUGUGGCCCUUGAACCAUAGACUGUAAAUAAAGAUGGACGACGCUUCUCCACUUGCUCACACUUUCCAAAAAUGAAGCCAAAAGUUGUAGCGGAUACCAACGCUGCCAUCUUGAGCCAGAAUAGUGCCAGAUCAUGCAAAUACGUUCAGGGUAUCACAGGGAAAGGGGGAGGAUCUUACUCCCCACCGGCAGAGGGCGUCAACGUGCGGCAGCAGCGAGGG
Pleuronectes platessa (European plaice) is the source of this 2649-nucleotide long non-coding RNA. RefSeq lists it as uncharacterized. Lineage: Eukaryota; Metazoa; Chordata; Actinopteri; Pleuronectiformes; Pleuronectidae. The transcript has 3 exons. The record is from RefSeq and is a predicted model, not a curated record.